This is a long non-coding RNA of Mytilus californianus (California mussel), 716 nucleotides long. RefSeq lists it as uncharacterized. The transcript is spliced from 3 exons. The record is from RefSeq and is a predicted model, not a curated record. Lineage: Eukaryota; Metazoa; Mollusca; Bivalvia; Mytilida; Mytilidae.
GAAACAUGUAAAAUAUAAAUCCCAUUUUUCAUCAUUUGACAUUUCCUAUUCAUAUACUGAAUCCACAAUUUACACCAACCAUUGGUGAAUUACAUUCGGAUUUCGGUCUUGGGUAUCCGCCCUUGUCUCCGGAAAUAUUAUACCCACACAAGUUGUCAACAUCCGUUUUGAAACUAAUGUUGAAAGUGUAUUUCACAAUCUUCCUGGAAAUGUAAACGCCAUCACUUCGUGCUCAGAUAAUAGAACAUAUUAUAAACCGCUAACAGCAAAUACGGACCAAAAUGAAUUAAAUUGGAAUGCACGGAUGAUCACGUUACAUGCCGACUGUAAGUGAUGGAGAAAGAUGUUUACUAUGGAUAAAAUAUUCAAAACAGAGGACUUUUAUAUAUAAACAAUAAUGUGUACAUGUAUGAUAUACAUGCAACAAGAAAACAGUAAUCAAAUGGAAUGUCUAUGUGAUUGCUACAACACAUUUUAAUAGAGUGAUGUUGAAAGCAAAAUUAUUUUUGUUAAAAGAAAAUAAUAGGACUACAAUAUAUUAGGGUACACAACACAUCAGAAAAAUAAUUUUACUGGAGGAUAAAAAUUUUGAUACCUGGAAUUAGCUAUUUAUAUGAAAUUUGUUAAGAGAGAUAUAUUCAUGUCAUCUGAUUCACGUACAGAAUGGUAACCCCACCAGAUAACCCUGAGGUAGUUCAAGUGAUUAUUAGUAGACA